CCGAUCAGACUAAUAAUACUUAAGUUAUGAGUUCUGACAUAUUUCAAUAUUCAACUAUGGCGUGGAUAUUGUUAAUAUUAUUUUUAUGAAGAUAGGUGUAGCUAAAUUGUUGAGUUGUGACCAGUUCUGAAAUGCUAAUAUCCUCUGAGCCAUAAUAAUGUAGAAGACAUUAAUGAAGAACUAUAAUACAUUGGUGAUUUUGAGUUUUGUGCUCUAUUUUAUUAUGUUUCACCUUUAUUUGGAGGGGGUAGGGGUAGGGUGGGGGUGAAUUAACUUUUAUCUGUUCAACAUUUUAUUUAUCAUAGUGAAGAGGUAUAUAUAUCAUAAUCAUUGAAACAAGCGUAUUAAAACGGCUGUGAUAUGUUGUAUCACUAGUAAGUUAUUCUUUGUUUGCUCAUAACUAGCAAACCUGUUAGUUUUUAAGUUUUGUAACCGAAAGCUAUGACUUUGUAUAAGCACUAGCAGUAGGGGUUGUCUAGUUUAUGUAUAUUAGCUGGAGAAGUGAAUUAAUGAACUUAAUAAAGUCAGGGCUUAAAUAAUUUUGUAGUCGAUAAUAUACAGUUUUUCUGUUUAGCCCCAAAAAAAUUCUUGUUGACUUCAAUUCAUAAAACAUAGAAAACUUUAAUGUUCAUCGUUGCAUUGGUUUUAGUCCUUGCAAUUCUUGUUUGUGUUAGAAUCCGUUCCUACAUACUCUCUAUUCCAGGGACUAACAUCAAUAUGAUCUACAUAUUUUGGAGACUAAUUCCAACAUAUGUACAGAUAUUACAAGGACUUAACCAAAACAAGGACAAAAAGCGACUUUUCCUUUUAGGGAUUCAAACCAGGAAUAAUUUGUUAUAGGGAGUAAAGCCAAAAUUGGUGCAUGUUACUGGGACUAAAAAGAUAUUUCACCCUAUAUAGUCAAAUCUAGUGGCAACAGUAAAGAGCCAUUACUUUAAAUGCGAUUAAGUAUUUCACACCCAACUGACAUGGGACUGACGCCUGCAUCAGUGCUGUUAGGUUGGAACAAGUGGUCCAUCCACAACUGAGGUGGACAAACUGGGAUCUAAAAUACCUAUUGAUGCAGGGCAGAAGAUUGAAAGGAAUAUGCUAUCACUCCAGUAAAUGACUUAGAAUCCACUUGGUAGAUACAUUGAAUGCAAGGAAUGUUUUUGAAUCAAUACGGAUAAUUGACAAUAUUAGUUGUAAAGUAUCCCAUAUGAUCACAAUGAAUAAUGAAAGUUACAAUAAUACACAAUUACAUAGUUUUUCAUGCUUGGCUGCUUGUUGUGAAUUCGAUUCCAUGGGUAAUGUUGUUUCUUUUUGCUAGGUUAUACUCUAAUUCAAUUAUUUGCUGGUUUUGUUUAGUUUCAUGUUUAUUUAUGGAAACAUGAUAUGUGGCCUUAUUUCUUACUCAUAAACACUGGUGUUCUAAGACGAAGAUGCUGCCUAUUUUUAACUUUGGAGGAGAAAUGUUAUAUAGUUUUGUAGCAGCAUAUAAUUUUGAGUUCACCAUAAAUGUACUCAGGUAUGGACCAUUCUGGAUUUGCACUACAUUAAUAUUUGUAGCAGCGUCUAUUGGAACAUUUGUGACAUAUAUAGCACACAAGUUGAAGGAUAAGGAAUGGGACUAUGACAUAAAUCUGGUGACUUGGUCUGCUGGUUUGUUUUAUGGCUAUGUUACCAUCGUUCCUCUUUGCCUGUAUGUAAUCCUUAAAUACUUCUCUGUACCGGCGGGACUUGUUCAACUAUUCUGCCUAUAUGGAUAUUCCCUGUUUGUCUUUAUUCCAGCUCUGGUAAGUCACUUCUCUUCAAUUUUCUCCCUCUUAUUUUAAAGAAGCAUAUAAAGUUUGACAUCUUAACGGCAUUAUUAUAUUAUUAUAUCCUGAAAUGUGAAACCGUUUGUUUGGUGCAGUGUAUGUCGAUUGUUCCACUGGAUAUAUUCAGAUGGGUGGUUGCAGGUGUGGCAGGGCUCAUGUCGGCAACAUUUGUCGCACUUAACCUCCGGGCACAUAUCAAGUCGGCAGGCGAAAGGUGGUUCUUCAUUGUUGCUGGCAUUUUUCUGUUGCAGUUGGCACUAUCUGUUGUAUUAAAGAUCUACCUCUUCACUGUAUCAGUUUAAAAGAAAACUUUGAAUGUGUGAAUGAAAUAUAUAUAACGACGAAAAAGCUUUUUGGCCGUUUAGGUACUCAUUAUUACGGUUUAGUUGAAAUAUAAUUCACAGAUUAAACCUUUGUGUAUUCAUUCAUUUGUGGCAAUAUAAUGUGAGUAACCUGUGAUUUUUUUUCAUAACUAGAGUAGCACUCUGCAUUUGUCGCUGACAUAAUAACUGAGGGCAACUUGGGCUUUUGUAGUUUUUUCAGUUAAUAUCUUGAUGUUGGGGGUAUUUUCUUUUGUUGAUUGCGUUGCAUGAUUGAACUCGAGUCAAAGUUAUGAAAGUUACAAAUAUUUUAUAAACGGAAAUGUUGUUUGUAGCGAACUGUAUCUUCCUGACAAGUCAUGAACCUACAUGAUUGGUCUAUUUCGCCACUUUUCCUUCGUGAAGUUCUGACCACUCUUUUAAGAACUAAACAUGUAAUACUUCGUGAAUAUGCUAUGCUUGUGCGUCGCGAUAUACAGCAGCGUUCUUUUAAAAAUGAUGUUUUGGAAUGAUUUGAGAAGAUCACGAGCAUAGCUUGGCUCUCAACUUCCAUUAUCUUCGUGAAGGAAGCAAUUAGCACAAUGAGUGAAACCUUUAGUACGAUUUUUAUCCCAUAAAAAUUUAAAUUUAAUUUAAACCAGAUUGAAGUAAAUUAAAUUUAAACCAUUAUACGUCGCACUUUACAAACCAAUGAAUUUAAUAUGCUUUAUUAAACAAUUUUCAGAUGCAGAAAUCAUAUCUAUCAUCAGUGGGUCAAAUUAACACGAUAAUAUGCCUCCAGAACCUAACUAGAAUUAGCAUUGCAUGGUAAAAAGUCAACACAAUCUCAGAGAAGCAUUUCAUCGUGCUUAGUAUUUACCAGAAAAUUUGGCAAUUAUCAUCGGUUCGUACUUCAUCAUAUCUGAUUUUAAAUACAAGCUGAAAUACAAAUAGUGUAGUCUUGAUUCGACAUUAGAUAUGUGAUAAGAGUUCAUAAAAUAAUUGCCACACAAGUUUAUGACUAAAAUUGGGGUGGGGGUUGGGAUUGGGAGGCCCACUCAUGUGAGUUCUGCAAAGUAAGCAACAUCAACACAUGAAGAGCCCAUCACCCCUCCAUAAAUUCUUGCACCAAUUCAUGGAUGCGGCGACCGGCUCUCACCGCUCGCUUUGUUUUCCUUACUCAUUAGUUUAAGGCAACGAUAAUCGUAGCAAUAACCUUCUUAUUUAUACACUACAUGUUGGCUUCUUGAAAACAAUAUAACCGAUGUGGGACUUUAACUACAUUAUUACUAGCAUUAUAAUAGCUCCAUCUUCUCCUUCUUCUUCGUCACCACCAAACGUCGGAGUCAUGCUCGUUCCUCUGUUCAUGUCGAACUGUGCGACUCAUGUAGAUUCAUUUUCAAAACCUUUAUCUGGUUCUGAUGAACCCCAGCAGGGUGGUUGGCUUCGGAAUUUUGCAGUUGCUGCUUACAAACCAUACUUUGACGUUGACACUUCAGAUGUUUUGGAGAGGAUUAUAGACUCACUUUUUCCAUUCAGAGGAACUUUUAAUGAAAAAACUUCUACCAACCCUGAUUUGUAAGUAGACCUUUUCUUUUGCUCAUUUAAUGGACCGAUCAGACUAAUAAUACUUAAGUUAUGAGUUCUGACAUAUUUCAAUAUUCAACUAUGGCGUGGAUAUUGUUAAUAUUAUUUUUAUGAAGAAUAGGUGUAGCUAAAUUGUUUUGAGUUGUGACCAGUUCUGAAAUGCUAAUGUCCUCUGAGCCAUAAUAAUGUAGAAGACAUCAAUGAAGAACUAUAAUACAUUGGUGAUUUUGAGUUUUGUGCUCUAUUUUAUUAUGUUUCACCUUUAUUUGGAG
RNAcentral lists this long non-coding RNA (3957 nucleotides) under Cicer arietinum (chickpea). RNAcentral's name for it is "long non-coding RNA (CARI_LNC000882)". The record is from RNAcentral. Lineage: Eukaryota; Viridiplantae; Streptophyta; Magnoliopsida; Fabales; Fabaceae.